UCCGUGCUCCUUCAAGGCAUGUAUCAAACAGAAAGUAAUGCAUUUUUCAACUAUCUCCACUAGAAUGUGUGCUCCUGGAGGUCAGCAACU
RNAcentral lists this microRNA precursor (90 nucleotides) under Procavia capensis (Cape rock hyrax). RNAcentral describes it as "miRNA (ENSPCAG00000020509.1)". Lineage: Eukaryota; Metazoa; Chordata; Mammalia; Hyracoidea; Procaviidae. The record is from RNAcentral.